GCUUGUCUCAAAGAUUAAGCCAUGCAUGUCUAAGUAUAAACAAAUUUAUAGUGAAACUGCGAAUGGCUCAUUAUAUCAGUUAUAGUUUAUUUGGCGAUAAAAACUACUUGGAUAACCGUAGUAAUUCUAGAGCUAAUACAUGCAUCAUCCCCCAUCUCGGGGUGUAUUUAUUAGAUGGAAACCAAUUCGGGGUAACCCGGUUUAUGGUGAUUCAUAAUAACUUUCGGAUCGACGCAAGUCGAUGCAUCAUUCAAGUUUCUGCCCUAUCAGUUGUGGAUGGUAGGGUAUUGGCCUACCAUGACUUUAACGGGUAACGGAGAAUUAGGGUUCGAUUCCGGAGAGGGAGCCUGAGAAAUGGCUACCACAUCCAAGGAAG
This 376-nucleotide ribosomal RNA is filed under the name uncultured Synurales. Its description in RNAcentral is "partial small subunit ribosomal RNA". It matches the Rfam family "Eukaryotic small subunit ribosomal RNA", at positions 30 to 424 of the family's 1831-position model. The record is from RNAcentral. Lineage: Eukaryota; Synurophyceae; Synurales.